This 548-nucleotide long non-coding RNA is filed under the name Homo sapiens (human). RNAcentral's name for it is "C-C motif chemokine ligand 3 like 3 (ENSG00000277336.2)". The record is from RNAcentral. Lineage: Eukaryota; Metazoa; Chordata; Mammalia; Primates; Hominidae.
CACAACUUUUAUUUUUAUCUCUAGAAGGGGUCUUAGCCCUCCUAGUCUCCAGUUGCUGCUGACACGCCGACCGCCUGCUGCUUCAGCUACACCUCCCGACAGAUUCCACAGAAUUUCAUAGCUGACUACUUUGAGACGAGCAGCCAGUGCUCCAAGCCCAGUGUCAUCUUCCUAACCAAGAGAGGCCGGCAGGUCUGUGCUGACCCCAGUGAGGAGUGGGUCCAGAAAUACGUCAGUGACCUGGAGCUGAGUGCCUGAGGGGUCCAGAAGCUUCGAGGCCCAGCGACCUCAGUGGGCCCAGUGGGGAGGAGCAGGAGCCUGAGCCUUGGGAACAUGCGUGUGACCUCCACAGCUACCUCUUCUAUGGACUGGUUAUUGCCAAACAGCCACACUGUGGGACUCUUCUUAACUUAAAUUUUAAUUUAUUUAUACUAUUUAGUUUUUAUAAUUUAUUUUUGAUUUCACAGUGUGUUUGUGAUUGUUUGCUCUGAGAGUUCCCCCUGUCCCCUCCACCUUCCCUCACAGUGUGUCUGGUGACAACCGAGUGG